RNAcentral lists this ribosomal RNA (397 nucleotides) under uncultured bacterium. RNAcentral describes it as "partial 16S ribosomal RNA". It matches the Rfam family "Bacterial small subunit ribosomal RNA", at positions 523 to 918 of the family's 1533-position model. The record is from RNAcentral.
AUAAGUAGGGGGCGAGCGUUGUCCGGAAUGAUUGGGCGUAAAGGGCGCGUAGGCGGCGCGGUAAGUCUGGAGUGAAAGUCAUGCUUUCAAGGUGGGAAUUGCUUUGGAUACUGCCGCGCUUGAGUGCAGGAGAGGUUAUCGGAAUUCCCGGUGUAGCGGUGAAAUGCGUAGAGAUCGGGAGGAACACCAGUGGCGAAGGCGGGUAACUGGACUGCAACUGACGCUGAGGCGCGAAAGUGUGGGGAGCAAACAGGAUUAGAUACCCUGGUAGUCCACACUGUAAACGAUGAAUGCUAGGUGUAAGAGGUAUCGACCCCUUUUGUGCCGGAGUCAACACAAUAAGCAUUCCGCCUGGGGAGUACGGCCGCAAGGUUGAAACUCAAAGGAAUUGACGGGG